GCGAGCCAGCGGGCGGGCGACUCAAAAGAGAGGAAACUCCUCCCUCGCUGCAGGCACCCGAAUUGGCGACAAUUAGCCGGAGACGGCUGGCGACGGAACAGAAAAGAGAUCCGGUCGGGGCGAUACCGUGAUGGCGAAAGCCUGAGGUUUCCGAUACCGGAAUGAAACUGCCGACCCGGGUGGAGCAAGGCCAAACAGAGCACAAGGGUCCUGCACCUGCUCAGGUUGGCUGCUCAGCGGAAUCCCGCCUAGAACAGAAGGAGGGUUACGGCUGGCACGC
This 280-nucleotide RNase P RNA is filed under the name Nitrososphaera viennensis EN76. RNAcentral's name for it is "Archaeal RNase P". It matches the Rfam family "Archaeal RNase P". Rfam says of the family: Ribonuclease P (RNase P) is a ubiquitous endoribonuclease, found in archaea, bacteria and eukarya as well as chloroplasts and mitochondria. Its best characterised activity is the generation of mature 5'-ends of tRNAs by cleaving the 5'-leader elements of precursor-tRNAs. Cellular RNase Ps are ribonucleoproteins. RNAcentral also lists the same sequence under 1 other name. Lineage: Archaea; Thermoproteati; Nitrososphaerota; Nitrososphaeria; Nitrososphaerales; Nitrososphaeraceae. The record is from Rfam by way of RNAcentral.